This 253-nucleotide ribosomal RNA is filed under the name uncultured bacterium. Its description in RNAcentral is "partial 16S ribosomal RNA". It matches the Rfam family "Bacterial small subunit ribosomal RNA", at positions 524 to 776 of the family's 1533-position model. The record is from RNAcentral.
UACAGAGGGGGCAAGCGUUGUUCGGAAUUACUGGGCGUAAAGGGCGCGUAGGCGGCCUUCUAAGUCGAACGUGAAAUCCCCGGGCUCAACCCGGGAACUGCGUCCGAUACUGGGAGGCUUGAAUCCGGGAGAGGGAUGUGGAAUUCCAGGUGUAGCGGUGAAAUGCGUAGAUAUCUGGAGGAACACCGGUGGCGAAGGCGGCAUCCUGGACCGGUAUUGACGCUGAGGCGCGAAAGCUAGGGGAGCAAACGGG